ACAAUGGGCGAAAGCCUGAUCCAGCAAUGCCGCGUGAGUGAUGAAGGCCUUAGGGUUGUAAAGCUCUUUUACCAGGGAUGAUAAUGACAGUACCUGGAGAAUAAGCUCCGGCUAACUCC
RNAcentral lists this ribosomal RNA (119 nucleotides) under Sphingomonadales bacterium. Its description in RNAcentral is "partial 16S ribosomal RNA". It matches the Rfam family "Bacterial small subunit ribosomal RNA", at positions 368 to 504 of the family's 1533-position model. The record is from RNAcentral. Lineage: Bacteria; Pseudomonadati; Pseudomonadota; Alphaproteobacteria; Sphingomonadales.